RNAcentral lists this ribosomal RNA (121 nucleotides) under uncultured bacterium. RNAcentral describes it as "partial 16S ribosomal RNA". It matches the Rfam family "Bacterial small subunit ribosomal RNA", at positions 336 to 456 of the family's 1533-position model. The record is from RNAcentral.
CUCCUACGGGAGGCAGCAGUGGGGAAUCUUGCGCAAUGGGCGGAAGCCUGACGCAGCGACGCCGCGUGGGGGAUGAAGGCCUUCGGGUCGUAAACCUCUUUCAGCAGGGACGAAGGUGACG